AUGGGUAAGGCGGAAAUUGGUUUACGCGAGUAUUUUAGGCAUACUUGAUUUUUUAUCGUGUGAGUUCAAGUCUCACUAUCCAUA
This is a non-coding RNA of Podila verticillata NRRL 6337, 84 nucleotides long. The record is from the annotation of a GenBank genome assembly. Lineage: Eukaryota; Fungi; Mortierellomycota; Mortierellomycetes; Mortierellales; Mortierellaceae.